GUAAUUGGAGGAUCGCGUUUCAUCAAAGAUGAAAGGAAUCGCGUGUAUGUUGUAUUAAUACAUAUAUCGGAUAGCCAUAUUAUAUACACAGGUUAUUGUAUUUUAGAUUAUUCCACGCGAAAAAGUCACUCAAGCAUAUGAUCCUAUGCUUACUUUAAGUCUUCAAGUCUGAGUUUUCAACAUCUUGUGAAUUAACACAAAGGGAAGAAGCCACAGAUCAAUUUAGGUUCUCAGAAUCUGUUUUACUUGAUGACCUUGUACUCCUUGUAUAUACGCUUAAAUGGUCAUAUUAUGAUUUCUUGAACCAUCCUUAUGAUCUUAUGAUCUCUUCUUGAAUGAUCAAUUUUGACUAAGCAAUACGUUAAUUUUUUUAAAAAAUCUUCUUUUCUUCUGUUCUGGAAUAAAAUCAUAAGAGAAAUAUCAAAUAAAUUUUGUAUUGCAUUUAGAUUGUUGUAAUUGAUUUUUUAGUAAAAUCGAUACAAUCGAGGUCGUAAGAAGAUCGUCAAUCGUAUAAAUAAUUCGAUACCUCAAUGCUUCUUCGUGUGCUGCAGAUGCAUGUAAACGAAUACAGUUAAAAUAGGCGUGACCGUGCAGCUCAAACUAUAUAUAAGAAGCGGACAAGCGGACGUAAAUGAAUGUUUGAAGAGUGGAACAAAAGUGGAUAGCGUAAAUACGAAUUCUUGACUGCACAUGUGCAAUCUAUUCUCUCCAUAAGCUGUACGCGACGAAGUAAUUUGUACUGGAUUCAGUUUUCGUCUAGUUCCAAUAAAAGAACAUGUACCAACACAAAUUUGGCACUUUUUUAACAUCUUUCUUUGGAUCUUCUUUUCAAAUAUAAAGCAGUCUUUCUAAAAAUUCUUUAACACUCAUUUCAAAUAAAAUUGUAAUUUCUUAAGCAAGAAGUCGCUCCUGUUUUGGUGAAUUUUUAGUAAUCUUUAGUUACUUUUUAAGCUCUGCAUAUAAAAAGUCCAAAAUAAACACUAAUAAAUAGUCGUUAUAUUUUCGAGUUUCUACACAAUUCAUGAAUAUCUUAAUAUCUUUUUAUCUAAUUUUUAAAUAGCAUGAAAUAUUUCCAAAAGGUCAACGAUAAAUUAACUUUUUCACAAAAAGAUAACAUUUCUUCUUCUUUGUUAUACUCCUUUUUAAUAGUAUUUUCAGAAUCUUCCUCAACAAGUCUCCCGUUCUUAUCAACAUUUCUGGGCAUGACAUCAUCCGUAUACUGUAGGAAUGGGUAUGCGUGUAUAUUGUACAUUAUAUGUUAAUCCUGUCUUCCUUUUCUUUUAUAAAACAAGCAUUAGAUUAUUUCUUUUGAGCAAGAAAACCAAUAUAUGUAUUUAAACGGGCGAAAAGGCGAUAAGAAUAUAUCUAUAGAUAAUGUUCACACAUCAUAUAUUUUAUCAAUUUUAUCACCCUCAAUGGGGUUAAGGACUGUGUUUCGAUAUUUGCCUCUGAUCGCUUUUACUACUUUUUUUUCUUGUUAACUAUAGAAAUGAAUGUAAGCUAAUGAGUAUUGAAAUAUGAAUACAGAAAAAUACAUGAAAAUGUAUUUUUAAAAAUAAACUUACUUUAAAAUU
Long non-coding RNA from Bombus impatiens (common eastern bumble bee), 1574 nucleotides. RefSeq lists it as uncharacterized. The record is from RefSeq and is a predicted model, not a curated record. NCBI's taxonomy places the organism in Eukaryota, Metazoa, Arthropoda, Insecta, Hymenoptera, Apidae. The transcript has 2 exons.